CGUUGCCAUCCUUCGCGUCCAAUUUAAGGCGGCGAGCUCUGCACCGGUUCCCUGCCCUAGAACUUUUUGUGGGCGACCCGAAGGAAGGACGGGUGGAGAAAUAAAUAGGACUGGGAAGCCUCGCCGUAGAAUCUGAGAGAUAGAGGGGGAGGAUAGAAGGAUCCAAGAUGCCGGACUACGGGGAAAGAUACGAAGGCUACGACGACGGGUACACCGGCUACGGAGGCGCGUCUCCUCCGCCGAGGAGCAGCGGCUUCGACGACUUCGGUGAUUCCAGAUCGCAGAAUGAAUUUCAGGAACCUGAAAGGGCGUCCUCAAAAAGCAGAGAAAGGGAUAGAAAUAGGGAGCAUGACAGGGAUAGGGAUCGAGACAGAGAUAGAGAUAGGGACAAGAAUAGGGGUCGGGAUAGAGAUAGAGAUAGGGAUAAGGAUCGUGAUCACAGAGACCACAGAGACAGAAGUGAUCGUGGCCGGGAUAGAUCCAAUGAUCAUGACCGUCAUCGUAACCGAGACUAUGAUAGCAUACAUUUCAGGCGAAGGGACUAUGAUCGUGAUAGAGAAGGGCAUCACAGACAUCAUUCUCAGUCUCGGUCUCAAUCAAAGGGUAGGUCUGAUCAUAGAUCAAGAUCUCGUUCUCGUUCCCGUUCAGGAUCAAAAAGCAAACGUAUCAGCGGUUUUGACAUGGCUCCACCUGCAUCUGCUCUGAUUCCUGGUGCAACUGCUUCAGGUCCGCUACCUGGAACCACACCAGCCAUUCCAGGAAUGUUUCCAAAUAUGUUUCCUCUGGGAGCUGGACAGUUCCCAACUAUUCCUGUGAUGCCAGUGCAAGCAAUGACUCAGCAGGCUACUCGACAUGCUCGGCGUGUGUAUGUUGGUGGCCUUCCCCCUACUGCAAAUGAACAGUCAGUUGCAACUUUUUUUAGCCAAGUUAUGUCUGCUAUUGGAGGAAACACGGCUGGACCAGGUGAUGCUGUUGUAAAUGUGUAUAUAAACCACGAGAAAAAAUUUGCUUUUGUGGAAAUGAGGUCUGUUGAAGAAGCAAGCAAUGCGAUGGCCUUGGAUGGCAUCAUUUUUGAGGGUGCACCAGUAAAGGUCAGAAGGCCAAGUGACUACAAUCCUUCUCUUGCUGCUGCACUUGGCCCGAGCCAGCCCAACCCCAAUCUCAACCUUGCUGUUGUUGGGCUUACACCGGGUUCCGCUGGUGGUCUUGAGGGUCCUGAUCGCAUUUUUGUGGGUGGGCUUCCAUACUAUUUUACAGAAGCACAAGUAAGGGAAUUGCUCGAGUCCUUUGGACCACUUCGAGGUUUUGAUCUGGUCAAGGACCGGGAAACUGGUAACUCAAAGGGCUAUGCCUUCUGUGUGUACCAAGAUCUCUCUGUUACAGACAUUGCAUGUGCAGCUCUUAAUGGCAUCAAGAUGGGAGAUAAAACCCUGACUGUAAGGCGUGCAAACCAAGGUGCCCAACAACCUAGGCCAGAGCAAGAAAGUGUGUUAUUGCAGGCACAACAACAGGUAGCUUUGCAGAUAGCAACCAGACAGUGUUCAUGUGUUGACAUAGGCUUGUGUACCAGGCAGGAUCCCUUCCCACCAAAAUAGUAUGCUUAACCCAGGUGGUUAGUGCAGAUGAAUUGAAAGACGAUGAGGAAUAUGAAGACAUAAUGGAGGACAUGAGGGGAGAGGGUGGAAAAUAUGGUAAAUUGAUAAAUGUUAUCAUCCCUAGACCUGGUCCAAAUGGUGAACCAGCUCCUGGCGUGGGAAAGGUAUUUUUGGAGUAUGCUGACGUCGAGGGAUCUACUAAAGCUAGGCAAGGGCUGCAUGGAAGGAAAUUUGGGGAAAAUCAGGUUGCUGCAAUUUUCUAUCCGGAGACCAAGUUUGCCCAAGGAGAAUAUGAUGGAUAGUUAACAUCAUUGUUUUCUAAUACCUUUUCUUUUCUUUUUCUCAAAAAAAAAAAAAGGUUUUAGGGCUGUAUCGUAGGCUUUUCUGCAGAACUGAUGCUUUGCUAUUGUGCUUGGACAUUUUAGACAUAUGUUAGGACAUAUGCUGAAGAGUGAGUUAGCUAUGCAAAUUUGACCUCUCUUCUAUGUUAAGAUAGUGUUCAUAUGAUCGCAUAUUGUGGUAGCAACAUGGAGAUUUGGUAAAUUGUCUGUCAUGGCAAUGGUGCAA
RNA transcript from Elaeis guineensis (African oil palm), 2162 nucleotides. It is a transcript of the gene named splicing factor U2af large subunit B, with no coding region annotated. NCBI's taxonomy places the organism in Eukaryota, Viridiplantae, Streptophyta, Magnoliopsida, Arecales, Arecaceae. The record is from RefSeq and is a predicted model, not a curated record.